Molecule: ribosomal RNA, 247 nt
Filed under: uncultured bacterium
Lineage: Bacteria
Description: partial 16S ribosomal RNA
Rfam family: Bacterial small subunit ribosomal RNA
Source: RNAcentral
ACCUUAUCUUAGCGGCGGACGGGUGAGUAAUGCUUAGGAAUCUGCCUAUUAGUGGGGGACAACAUUCCGAAAGGAAUGCUAAUACCGCAUACGUCCUACGGGAGAAAGCAGGGGAUCUUCGGACCUUGCGCUAAUAGAUGAGCCUAAGUCGGAUUAGCUAGUUGGUGGGGUAAAGGCCUACCAAGGCGACGAUCUGUAGCGGGUCUGAGAGGAUGAUCCGCCACACUGGGACUGAGACACGGCCCAG